GAUGAAGAACGUAGUGAAAUGCGAUAAGUAGUGAAUUGCAGAAUUCAGUGAAUCAUCGAAUCUUUGAACGCACAUUGCGGCCAUAGGUAUUCCUUUGGCCAUGCCUGUUCGAGCGUCAUUUACACCCUCAAGCCUAGCUUGGUGUUGGGCGCCUGUCCCGCCGUUUUCGCGCGCGGACUCGCCUCAAAGUCAUUGGCGGCGGUCGUGCCGGCCCCCUCGCGCAGCACAUUUGCGCUUCUCGGAGGCCCGGCGGAUCCGCGCUCCAGCAAGACCUUUCACGACUUGACCUCGGAUCAGGUAGGGAUACCCGCUGAACUUAAGCAUAUCAAUAAGCGGAGGA
This 340-nucleotide unclassified non-coding RNA is filed under the name soil metagenome. RNAcentral's name for it is "partial contains 5.8S ribosomal RNA, internal transcribed spacer 2, and large subunit ribosomal RNA". The stretch from base 1 to 118 matches the Rfam family "5.8S ribosomal RNA", at positions 35 to 154 of the family's 154-position model. The record is from RNAcentral.